UGGUUCUGGCAUCGAUGAAGAACGCAGCGAAAUGCGAUAAGUAAUGUGAAUUGCAGAAUUCAGUGAAUCAUCGAAUCUUUGAACGCACAUUGCGCCCUUUGGUAUUCCGAGGGGCACGCCUGUUCGAGCGUCAUUUAAACCAUCAAGCACCGCUUGGUCUUGGGUGAGGUCGAGCGACCCGCCCGCAACCCGUUGGCGGCACCGUCCAGCUUCAAGCGUAGCAGAAUUUUCGCUUCAGGAGCUCGCGGCGGCGUCUGCCUGAUAAUUACACCCAAAGUUUGACCUCGGAUCAGGUGGGGAUACCCGCUGA
RNAcentral lists this unclassified non-coding RNA (310 nucleotides) under uncultured fungus. RNAcentral's name for it is "partial contains 5.8S ribosomal RNA and internal transcribed spacer 2". The stretch from base 1 to 133 matches the Rfam family "5.8S ribosomal RNA", at positions 22 to 154 of the family's 154-position model. Lineage: Eukaryota; Fungi. The record is from RNAcentral.